Strongylocentrotus purpuratus (purple sea urchin) is the source of this 4549-nucleotide RNA transcript. RefSeq lists it as uncharacterized. NCBI's taxonomy places the organism in Eukaryota, Metazoa, Echinodermata, Echinoidea, Camarodonta, Strongylocentrotidae. The transcript has 2 exons. The record is from RefSeq and is a predicted model, not a curated record.
UACUAAUCUCUGUUUGUGAGGACAUUUUUUGUUUUAGUUGACGAUCGGAGUAUGACGUCAGAAGCGAUGUUUUUUUUGGUUGAAUUUUUGGUCUGCCGAGUGGGGGCGUAACAAUUUAGCUGCAAAUGAUUCUCAAUUUUGGGAAAAGUCAUCCUUCUGAUUGCGAUCAAUAUUUAGUAUUUCCAGACAAGCCCAAUGUUGUGAGUAUAAUUUGAACAUAUGAUGUUGAUAAUUGAUAACUAGCCGUCAGUUUGAGUUGGGUGUUGGUUUAUACAGUUCAUAGUUUUCAGAUAAUUUGAUGUAUAAAAUUUGUUAUGAAAGUGAUUUGUACGCACAGUAACUUUGUAUGAUGCAUUACACGUGCAGUUACAUAAUACGGUUCAUGUGUGUAGUGCUAUGGGGAUAGUCUGUUGUACAGACCGUGUUGUGUUAUUUUAAUAUCAUUUAUAUAUAGGCAGUUGUAUAAAGUGACAGAAUGUAGAUAAAUUCUGGUAACUGUAGACAUGUAUAUAAAGAGGAAUUCAGUGUAAUAUGUAACUUCAGUAGACAUGCAUUAAUCAUACAACUAAUUUGAUGCAAGAUUGUUUGUAAACAGUUUAAAAUUGACAUAUUAUUUAUGAUUGUUUAAUUCUGAUUAAAUUUCAGGUUGAACCGCCUUUUGUGAACGGUAUCGCAUCAUGCUUGAAAUUGUCACUAUUUAUUGAAGUGCAGUCAGUCCGAUUGGUUGGUUAUACGCUACAUCAAGUUCAACAACAGUGCUUUAAGUCAACAUGAGCGAUAUGUCCCAUCUAGAGUCCGUCAAGCCCAGGGAUUCAGCAAGCCAGACUGGCAAGAGCAGUACGAGCAGUACCUCCAGAGCUAGAGUCAAAGCAAUGGUGAAGAGAGCGGCCUUGGCAGCCCAGGCAGCAGCUCUCAAUGAACAACAAGCUCUUGAACUGGAGGAGUUUAAGCUGAAGCAGAGAAGGUGUAAGCUUGAGCUACAGACAAGACUCAGCAUGGCAAAAGCUGAGGAAGAGGUUUUCUCCCAGCAUGGAGAGAGCAUGACUGCUGCUGUAGAUAAAGAUGUCUCCCAACGAAGAGGGGCCUUGACGACGGAGCCCAGCAUGGCUACAGAUUUAGAGAAGGCUGUCUACCAGCUGAGACAGCCCUCACAGGUGCAACCUAACAGGGUCAGCACUACAGACAAGGACUUCUCCCAGCGUGGAGAGAGCAUGACUGCUGCUGUAGAUAAAGAUGUCUCCCAACGAAGAGGGGCCUUGACGACGGAGCCCAGCAUGGCUACAGAUUUAGAGAAGGCUGUCUACCAGCUGAGACAGCCCUCACAGGUGCAACCUAACAGGGUCAGCACUACAGACAAGGACUUCUCCCAGCAUGGAGAGAGCAUGACUGCUGCUGCAGAUGAAGAUGUCUCUCAACGAAGAGGGGCCUUGACGACAGAGCCCAGCAUGGCUACAGAUUCAGAGAAGGGUGUCUACCAGCUGAGACAGCCCUCAGAGUUGCAACCCAACAUGGUCAGCACUACAGACAAGGACUUCUCCCAGUGUGGAGAGAGCAUGACUGCUGCUGCAGAUGAAGAUGUCUCUCAACGAAGAGGGGCCUUGACGAUGGAGCCCAGCAUGGCUAUAGAUUUAGAGAAGGGUGUCUACCAGCUGAGACAGCCCUCAGAGUUGCAACCCAACAUGGUCAGCACUACUGUAACAGACAAGGACUUCUCCCAGCAUGGAGAGCCCUUGAAGUAUGAUACCACCACUAAUCAGAGUGAAACCACAGAACAGAAUGGCUCCAUAUUAACUGGGUCAGAAGCAAGUUACGGAAUCGCCAUAGGGGCCGGUAUGCGAUGUGUACUUCCCAUAGGUCCAGUGCAUGUUCAGGCAGCAGAUGGAGAUAGAUGUGUUCGGACCUACGCUCUACUGGACUCUGGUUCGACCACUUUCUUCUGCACAGAGGGCCUAGUAAGGAAAGUGUCAGCACAGGGGGAAGAGCGCAUACUUUCCAUAUCAACUUUGGACGAUCCUGAUGGAAGGAUCCAGACUCAAGUUGUGAGUCGUAUGGUAGACACAGGUCUCAUGACAGAAAGAGUGAAGCUUCAGAAGGUUUCUACCAACAGGAAGACCGACUUACUGAGUGAUGACAUGGCCAGUAUGCCAGACUUAGAAGGAUGGCAGCACUUAGAGGGGCUGGAUCUACCAUUUGCCUGCGGACAAGAAGUGGGACUCCUGAUAGGGCAAGAUGCGCCAUUUGCCCUGAUGCCCUUAGAGAGUGUACAUACUGUACUUGGAUGGUCCUUGCAUGGCCCUGCUGCUGCUAUUCCAGACAAAGGAAUGUCGGUGAAUGACAGAAAGACUCUUGAAAUACAGAAUGAAGGGAAGUGCAUAGAGAUGGAACAGUACCAGUUUCACAUACCCUUCAAGGAGAAACGACCUACAUGUAGCUUGACAGACAAACCAUGGGUAGCAGAACAAAGGUUGCAGAGUCUUAGAAGGAAGCUAGGUAGAGAUGAUGCUCUGCACAACAAGUACACAGAAGGUUAUGCCGAGGAGGUGGAAGAGCAAGAUUGUCAACCAGGUGACGUAACAUGUCGAUACCUCCCUCAUCCAGGUUUACGAUUUGGUACUGUCAGUCGACGAGCACACACCCCGCAAUGUUUGGCCUUUGGGAAGAGUCCUUCAGACAUGGCCAGACGAGAAAGGCUUCGAUCGACAGUGUGAAGUGAAGACCUGAACCAGCGUACUGCGGGAGACCAGUUACUAAGCUCUGUUUAAUUUUGGAGGCAGAUUCUUAGAAACAUUUUUGUGUUUCUAAGAUGAGGGGUCAAGCCUAGCGCUGUCCCGUGCCAAUUGUAGAGGUAUUUGUGUUUUGUGUUCUUAAAACCAGAAAGCGGAACUGACAUCGAUCUUAUCGCGUAUUAGAGUAACAUUGAUCAGUCAAGAAAUUGAGGAAUUUUUGUGCAUCAGCAUCAUGGACUAAGUGUCAACAUUUGAGCAACUUUCAGAGAAUUUUUAGAGACUUUUACAAGAAAUUUGAGGAAGGUUCAGCGUUUCAGAAGAAGUUCUAAGCAAGAAAAUAUGUUGCAAGACAAAGUUGAUAUUUAGUCAUAAGAGGAAAUACAUAUUAUUCUGAUCCUCUAAUAACUCAGAGAAGGUCAAAGAACAAGAUUUUUGAAGAAAAUGGAUUAUACCAUAAUGCAAGACUGACAUGGUGUAAUUUAUGUUAGCAUGAUAUUGGAAAGUAACGUUUUUGUUUUUCAACCUUCUAAACAAACUUUAUAUUUAUUAGAAAUGGUAAAUGUGCUUUUCCUUUAUAUUCAUAUGAUGAAUGCAUUUGUAUGUAUUCUAUAUUAGGUUUAUUUCCAGAGGAGAAAGCUUAAAGUAGCAGAAUGAAUACAUUCAAAUCAGUUAUACAUGUUGAUGAUAUGUCGUUUAUUACUGUUUCCAUGACAACCAAAUUACAUGGCGUUGGCUAUUUGGUAGAAUAUGUAAUACCAGAAUCGAUAAUGUCAUAUAUGCAGAUUGUGUAUAGAAAGAUUGAAAUGGUAUAUGCAGAUGAUGUAUUUGUCUAUGUAGGGACUUGGAAGUUUCGACUAGGAAAAUUUAUAUUUUCUAGCAGAUAAUGUCUUGUGAAGUUAUAUUUGGGUACAACAACAUGACUCUAUGUGUACUGGAAUUGGUAUGUGAAUUCAAUUCAGUUUUAAACAGUAUCUGUGAAAUCGUACAUAGUGUUGAUUACAGAAUCAAUAUUUCCUUUUAUUGGGUGACACAUAAUAAGAUUUCUUUUUUAGUUUGUAUGGGAUUGAAAGAAGUGGUUGUAGUGGUAACAGUUGCCAACAGAGAUUUUUUAGAGUGAAAUUUUGGUUUUCAUAUUUUAAUGUGAGAAUUUAUAAAGUUAAUUUAUUGAAGCAUGUUAUACAUUGAUACAGGUAGUAUGGCAACCAACUUUGUUGAAAGUUUAUUUGAAAAGGAAAUUGUAGUCCUUUUUGGUGUUGUAACAAGGAAAUCUAGACAUGAACAAUUUUUUUCUUUUUCGUUUGCAAAGAAAGUUGUUUGGUUGCUUAGGUGUUCAUGAAAAUUAAUGUAAAUUAGUUUAUUUGUUAAUUGGUGUAUGAAGGCAUUCAGUAUAGAUAGCUAUGUUUUAAAUUUUGGGAUUCCUUUGGAAUUUUGGAUAAAUAUAUACCUGUAAGUCCAGGUUGAGAAUAAGAAGAGAUUAGAGAAGUAAAUGUUCAGUAAAAUCUUCACAUUUAGGGGCCGGAAUGUAAGAUACUAAUCUCUGUUUGUGAGGACAUUUUUUGUUUUAGUUGACGAUCGGAGUAUGACGUCAGAAGCGAUGUUUUUUUUGGUUGAAUUUUUGGUCUGCCGAGUGGGGGCGUAACAAUUUAGCUGCAAAUGAUUCUCAAUUUUGGGAAAAGUCAUCCUUCUGAUUGCGAUCAAUAUUUAGUAUUUCCAGACAAGCCCAAUGUUGUUGAACCGCCUUUUGUGAACGGUAUCGCAUCAUGCUUGAAAUUGUCACUAUUUAUUGAAGUGCAGUCAGUCCGAUUGGUUGGUUAUACGCUACA